GCCUCCUUAGCUCAGUGGUAGAGCAACGCUCUUGUAAAGCGUAGGUCGUCAGUUCAAUCCUGACAGGGGGCU
Mycobacterium sp. 1245111.1 is the source of this 72-nucleotide non-coding RNA. The record is from Rfam. NCBI's taxonomy places the organism in Bacteria, Bacillati, Actinomycetota, Actinomycetes, Mycobacteriales, Mycobacteriaceae.